Molecule: unclassified non-coding RNA, 141 nt
Filed under: soil metagenome
Description: partial internal transcribed spacer 1
Source: RNAcentral
UAAUAAGUGUUUAUGGCACUUCUUAAAUCCAUAUCCACCUUGUGUGCAAUGUCAGUCCGAUUUUCUUAUGGAGAUCGACCAAACAUCAACCUUAUCUUUUAACUUCUGUCUGAAAACUAUUAUGAAUAAACAGUUCAAAUA